RNAcentral lists this ribosomal RNA (332 nucleotides) under uncultured methylotrophic bacterium. RNAcentral describes it as "bacterial SSU rRNA". It matches the Rfam family "Bacterial small subunit ribosomal RNA", at positions 568 to 898 of the family's 1533-position model. The record is from RNAcentral.
UGCGCAGGCGGUUUUGUAAGUCAGAUGUGAAAUCCCCGGGCUCAACCUGGGAACUGCGUUUGAAACUACAAGGCUAGAGUGUAGAAGAGGGGGGUAGAAUUCCACGUGUAGCAGUGAAAUGCGUAGAGAUGUGGAGGAAUACCGAUGGCGAAGGCAGCCCCCUGGGCUAACACUGACGCUCAUGCACGAAAGCGUGGGGAGCAAACAGGAUUAGAUACCCUGGUAGUCCACGCCCUAAACGAUGUCUACUAGUUGUUGGUGGAGUAAAAUCCAUUAGUAACGCAGCUAACGCGUGAAGUAGACCGCCUGGGGAGUACGGUCGCAAGAUUAAA